RNAcentral lists this ribosomal RNA (65 nucleotides) under Chlamydia psittaci. RNAcentral's name for it is "partial 16S ribosomal RNA". It matches the Rfam family "Bacterial small subunit ribosomal RNA", at positions 1475 to 1533 of the family's 1533-position model. Lineage: Bacteria; Pseudomonadati; Chlamydiota; Chlamydiia; Chlamydiales; Chlamydiaceae. The record is from RNAcentral.
CUGGGAUGAAGUCGUAACAAGGUAGCCCUACCGGAAGGUGGGGCUGGAUCACCUCCUUUUAAGGA